Small nucleolar RNA from Orcinus orca (killer whale), 124 nucleotides. RefSeq annotates it as small nucleolar RNA SNORA14. The transcript has a single exon. Lineage: Eukaryota; Metazoa; Chordata; Mammalia; Artiodactyla; Delphinidae. The record is from RefSeq and is a predicted model, not a curated record.
UUGCAUUCUUAAACCUUCUUGGUAGCUUUACUCUAAAUGCUUCCAAGAUGUGAGCGAAUGUAACUUAUCUAGGUUGCUCAGUCAAAAUAGUUUUCUGAAACUAAAAUUUACAUGUAAGUUAUUA